Strongylocentrotus purpuratus (purple sea urchin) is the source of this 744-nucleotide RNA transcript. It is a transcript of the gene named coiled-coil domain-containing protein 34-like, with no coding region annotated. The record is from RefSeq and is a predicted model, not a curated record. The transcript has 4 exons. NCBI's taxonomy places the organism in Eukaryota, Metazoa, Echinodermata, Echinoidea, Camarodonta, Strongylocentrotidae.
CUUCUUUUCUCUCUUUAUCGAGUAUAGGCCAUGCUGCAGAGGAAGAAACAGCUGAAGAUUGCAGAAGAGAAGAAGAUGAAGGUGGAGAAAGCUAAGGUCAUUGAGGUCAAGGUCAACAUGUGGAUUGAGGAAAGAACAGCUAAGGAGCAGGAAUCGAGAAAAGCCAACUGGAGGCUAGAGAAGACAAAGAAACAACUUGAAGCAGAAGAGAAGAGGGGAGUCCAGGAGAAAGCAAAGGAGAACUAUGGAGAAUGGAGGAGCAAGAAGAAGGCUGCAAAAGAGAUGAAGGAGAAGAAGGAGAAGGAAGAACAAAGAGCUGAAGAAGAAGCCGAAAGGAGGAGGAAAGAAGAGGCGGAAGAUGCAUACCUGAAGUGGAAAGAAGAGGCCAAGACGAGACCAUUUCCCCUAGCUACUCAAUUUGGCUUUCCUCAGGGCUCUGUCAAAGUUUAGGCCAAGCUGCAGAGGGAGAAACAGCUGAAGAUUGCAGAAGAUGAAGGUGGAGAAAGCUAAUGUCAUUGAGGUCAAGGUCAACAUGUGGAUUGAGGAAAGAACAACUAAGGAGCAGGAAUCGAGAAAAGCCAACUGGAGGCUAGAGAAGACAAAGAAACAACUUGAAGCAGAAGAGAAGAGGGGAGUCCAGGAGAAAGCAAAGGCUACCAUGACAAGGCAAGCUACGCCAUUCCCAGCUACUACAACCCAGUCCCCUGGAUGCCUAUACACACCCCCAAAUAUCACACCAAGCCU